AUUUGAUUCUGUCUCUUCUUCCCCGGGAGCAAGAGAAUAGCCACAACCCCUGGAAAACCUCAGCCAGGUCAAGGAGAGCUCAAGAUGACCUUGGGAGCCCAGCCUCCCUCUUUGUUAUCGCCGGCUGAACGGCUGCGCAGAAUUAAAAAGGGGCCAUGAAGAACUAAAGAGGACUUUCUGUGUGAGAUUGUGAUGCACUCUGUGGCCAAGAAACAGGCAUUGAAGGAGUGGCGAGAGAGAGAGAGAGAGAGAAGAGGGACCAAAAGGAGAACGCAGCAUGCCAAAAUGAAACAAUGGAGUGGCUCUUAAACGUUAUGGAGUACCAAGUUGACACACUCUAGAUGAUACUAGCACUGCAAACCAACCAGCUCUGCAUCCACCCUCCCCUGCAGCCGUUAUCACAAAACUCUUUCCCAUGUGCCCCCCAGACACCACCAACACACUCUUAUCAACCUCCUGGCUCCAGUCUGUACCCGUGGCAUUCUACUCCUCCCCCUGUCACAGUCCAGCACUGCGAACUCCCAGUACCCACUGCACUCAACACCCUCUGAAGUACCCACUGCACUGUACUCCAAAGGAAAAGGUUGAAUAUGAUCCCUGGACAUACACAAAUCUUUAACCAUCCUGGGACCCGACCUCCUCCUGGGACCUUACCUUCCCUCAUCCCCCUCAGUGAUGAGGUGUUUUUUUGUUUGUCUCUCUCCUCCAGUUGUUGUUUUUAAUAAAAGAAUUGUGUUGGUUUGAAAGAAA
Molecule: long non-coding RNA, 750 nt
Organism: Malaclemys terrapin pileata
Lineage: Eukaryota; Metazoa; Chordata; Testudines; Emydidae
Exons: 2
Source: RefSeq, a predicted model, not a curated record